GACCUGAUAUCAGGCA
Molecule: ribosomal RNA, 16 nt
Filed under: Pythium insidiosum
Lineage: Eukaryota; Oomycota; Peronosporomycetes; Pythiales; Pythiaceae
Description: partial 28S ribosomal RNA
Source: RNAcentral